This 75-nucleotide transfer RNA is filed under the name Clostridia bacterium. Its description in RNAcentral is "tRNA-Thr". It matches the Rfam family "tRNA". From Rfam's summary of the family: Transfer RNA (tRNA) molecules are approximately 80 nucleotides in length. Their secondary structure includes four short double-helical elements and three loops (D, anti-codon, and T loops). Lineage: Bacteria; Bacillati; Bacillota; Clostridia. RNAcentral also lists the same sequence under 1 other name. The record is from RNAcentral.
GCUUGUGUGGCUCAGGGGUAGAGCAGCUCACUCGUAAUGAGCAGGUCGUCGGUUCAAUUCCGACCACAAGCUCCA